This 1590-nucleotide unclassified non-coding RNA is filed under the name Leishmania donovani. RNAcentral's name for it is "gene:LdHU3.25.2310(CDS-product:hypothetical_prote in_conserved)". The record is from RNAcentral. Lineage: Eukaryota; Euglenozoa; Kinetoplastea; Trypanosomatida; Trypanosomatidae.
UCAAGCACACGCGCACGCGCACACAUGUCCAUCCUCGCUCACCGCAACUCACCUCUACGUACAUAGACGAAGACCGCACAUGCAUGCACACGCACACACAUAUAGCCAGCCAUCACGCUUCUAUCAAAGACCCACCUCUUCACACAAAGACCUACCCUUAUACACACGCACACACUCAUCAUGAACCUUGUGCGCGUCGCGCUGCUCUGUGCGUGCACGACGCUGCUGUGCCUCGGUGCCCUCUACUACUACUCCGUGUACGACUACGAGAAACACAUGAGCAUGGUGCAACGCAAGUACUCGGGCUACGAUCCGCUGACAGAUUGUGCAACGCCGUUCGGGCAGCUCCUCGGUGUCGCCGACGACGUUCCGGCGUACAGCAACUGCAAUACCAAGUUUUCCUCAACCUACAUCAACUACGUGAGCCUCAUGGACCCAAUGGACAACGGCCGCCGCGGCGACCCAUCCGAGACGCGCAUUGUCAUGACUGCCUACCGCUACACCGCGUUCGACUACUGCAUGCGGUGGCUCGUGUGGAACCGCGGGGUCAUGCCGCGCCUCGUCGAGAACACGAAUCAGCUGUGGAAGACGGUGGACUACUUCAACCCUGCCAAACCGGAGCAGGGCUGGUCUGCGGAGUACAUCACCAACUACGAGGAGGUGACGGGCAUGGAGGAGCGCAAGUUCAACGCGCCGCGGAGGGCGGACGCGAUCGUCUACCGCAUGGACAAGAACACCAUUCCUGCAGGUCACAUUGCGGUGGUGGUGAAGGUGGAGGACGACGUCGAAGCGGCCGGCGGCCCAGAGAAGCUGAAAGAGCUGAAGAAGAUGCGCCUGCAUCCUCGCCGUGUCUACGUAGCAGAGCAAAACUGGAAGAAUCAGCCGUGGGGUGGGCACAACUACAGCCGCGUGCUGCAGUUCAAAUGGCGCGCCGUAGCAGAGAAGGCAUACGAGGGCUGUUACGUCGACCCCGACGGGCUUGAUAUCAUCGGCGUUGUGCGCGUGGGGAAGGCGAUGCCCCUGCGUGCGGCGCCUGACCCCUACCAAGAGGCGCUCGACAUGGAUAACGACGGCGACCUCUAACAGGUUGAGAGACUCGACAUGAGAGCAAUGAUCGGGGGUUGUGAAGGAGGAGUGCGGCGACUGGGAAGGGGCGUGGACGGGGUGGGCGGGAUCCCCCUUCCUCUCGCAGCGUUGGCUACUCUCGUCACAUUGCAGCGAUUCAAUGAGGAAAGCGUUCACACUGCUUUUCACCAAGCCCCCACCCUCCCCCCCACCUGAUCUUGCCGCGCUGCCCACCCGCCCCCAUCAUCCAUCUGCUUCUCCCUCUCCCUAUCCCCACCCCGCCUCCCAUCGAUGUAUCCGUGAGCGCACCGCACACACAGACAGCACGUGCGCUGAAGUAUUCUUUGGACGUUUUUUUUGCUUUCUCCAAUGCCGCUCACCGUGUCCCCGCGUCGUCUUGCUUUGUGUGGUGUGUGUAGGUGUCCCUCGCCAUCGGGUGGCGAGGUGAGCAUCGACCCCCCACCCCACCCCUACAGCGACACGCGCACACAUGCACAGUGGCACACUUCACCCAUCCUCGUCACC